Molecule: ribosomal RNA, 450 nt
Filed under: uncultured bacterium
Lineage: Bacteria
Description: partial 16S ribosomal RNA
Rfam family: Bacterial small subunit ribosomal RNA
Source: RNAcentral
CCUACGGGUGGCUGCAGUCGAGAAUUUUUGGCAAUGGGCGAAAGCCUGACCAAGCGAUGCCGCGUGCGGGAUGAAGGCCUUCGGGUUGUAAACCGCUGUCAGUGGGGAGGAAAGCUUUGCGAAGAGCAAGGCUUGACCUAUCCGCAGAGGAAGUGUGGGCUAAGUUCGUGCCAGCAGCCGCGGUAAGACGAACCACACAAACGUUAUUCGGGAUUACUGGGCUGCGUAGGUGCCGCAGCUGCGCAGUAAGGAAAUACCUCGGCUCAACCGAGGAACUGCGCCCAAAACUACUGUGCUUGAGGAAGAUAGAGGUAAGCGGAACUUACGGUGGAGCGGUGAAAUGCGUUGAUAUCGUGAGGAACACCUGUGGCGAAAGCGGCUUACUGGGUCUUUUCUGACGCUGAUGCACGAAAGCUAGGGGAGCAAACGGGAUUAGAUACCCGAGUAGUC